UCGCCUCCCUUUGCUCUUUCCCUCUCCUUUCUCUCCAGCUCAUGAACAUCAAUCAACAGACCUUGCACAAAUUCGUGCAAUUUCAUGAAAUCUCUCAUCAAAUCGUCCUAUCCUUCUUCCCUAUCCGAGAAUCCCGCUGAUCUUUCCCUUUUGUUCUUCAAAUCUGAAGCACCAGACUCUCACCUUAGCAUUAAGACACCGUUUCAUUUUUUUCCUCUCAAGUCCGAACUCAGAGAAUCAUUCGCUUUGUCCCUAGGCUAUCAGGCCUGUGAUUUUCUUUCCACUUCACUGAUUGAAUUUAAAAAACCCAAAUCUGAAACCCUAGACUCCAAAGUGAAACUUCGAGUAUCCAAAUUUCUUUUAUGCUCGGUCAAAUCAGAGCAUGCAUGAGCGUAUAUCAAAGCCGCAUUAUGAUUAUUCGAGGUCCAGAGGUCAACUACAGUGACCUUUGGACACUGAAGCUUUGGCCGAUGGUUUUUGCCUUCAACGAUCAACUUCUCUUCUUCCAGGUAAAAACUCUUACUGAUUUCCCUCUGUCUCUCUAAUUCUUUACUCGCCUAUACUUGCAUCAUCUGGUAGUCAUCACUCUCCACUACAUAUGCUUUAAUCUGAAACCCUAGACCAUUAAAUGGCUAUAAAUAGAGCCUUGAUUGCUCUUACCUAAUAUCAUAGAACAACCUACAAUCACACCAAACAAUACCUACCAGGCCUAUCAAUAGUCUGAAAAAAUCUCAUACAAAUUAAGAAGCUAGGUUUCUUUUCUUAUUUAUCUCUGUUUCCCUUUGUUUUAGAGUUCAUUCACUGUUAAAAGCUUGAAGCUUUUGUUUUCAUACGGCUAAGUUAGAAAUCUCGUUUGGUCUGCUGCCCUAGAAAAGGUUAGUACAUUUCCAGCCCCUCUCUUUUGAUUGCCUUUAUUCGAAUAUCAUGAACACACUGCUGCACCUUUUAUACUUAUGAUUAUCUUUAAUCAGUAUUGACUAAGUUUUUAUGUGACCUCAAUGGUUUCUAUUUUGUAUCAAACAACCUAUGUGAUUAAGCUACUUAAUAUGCCUUAAUGACUUUUCAUGUUUGCAUAGGCUUCGUGUUUUCUUUUAAUGACUCUGCUAUAAUCUUAUCCCUGCCAUACUAUUUCUUCAUUUAUUGUUAAGGUUGUCAUUUGAUAAUCCUAAUUAGAACAAACAUGAAAAGCUCACAGCUUAAUCCUUCAUCACUUAAUUAAAAUAUGUGAAGUUUAAGUGUUUAAAUGCUCUCCUUCUUCGUAUAAGCUUUUGUUAACAUGUAAGCAUUCUUUGAGUCAUCACUAUGAGUCUUAUGCUUGUGCUUAACUGUUAAUCACAUCUCUAAGCCUCUUUUUAAUGGAACUGUUUCACUAAAGUAAUUAGGUCAACUCCUGCAAACACCAGAAACUCUUUUUUGCUUAGGUUUGUUAUGAUUAGGUUAUCUUUUAUAAAUUAGGUUAUAGUCAUGAUGAAUGUUAACUAUCUUACAAGUUGGGUACAAUUACAUCAUGCUCGAAUAUUAAUCUUAGUCUAUACAGUUGAGCUAAAAUGUUUGGUAUAAUAUCUUCCGUGUCUUUGACCUUUAAUGACAUUGUUAACCCGAUUUCACAAUGACUGAAACUUGUUUUUGUAAGACUAUAUGUGUAGUCUAAUGAAGGUUCUGUAUGUAUCUCUGUGUAUCUCUCAUGAUUUUAUUCUUCUGUGCACUAUCUUGAAACUGCAUAUGGUCUUCUCUUUCCCUUUUAAUCUAAAUUGGACCCAGUCUAUGAAGUUUAAGAGAAACUCUUUGUUGCUACUGUUUGAACAUAAUAGUUUGCUUAUUUCAUAAUAAGAUUGAUACUCUCAUAAAGGGUUGGUUCUGUCACCAAUUUCAAGGUUAAGUGAGACUGAUAGUCUAUGAUCUUGUUAAGCAUUCUUAGAUGUCCCGCUUGAAUCUCCAAACCUGCAAUCAUGUUAAAAGUUCUAAUUAUAUUCCGGUAGCUCUAAUAACCCAUAUAGAAGUUCUAACUAUGAUUGUUUGCCUGAACAUUUAUUGAUACUUCCAAAGUUCCAAACAAUAUUGACCUAUUGUGUGCAAAACUUGAGCCAAGCUAAUCUGUGAUCAAUCUGUUGGGGCAACAUCAUCUGUAUCCCUAAGUUGUUGCAGCCCUAGCUAUGUGUUCUUUAUCUAUCUUUGAGACGUUUGAUUCAAGUUAUUUGGUUCUUUAGCAAUAACAGUAUAAUAUUCCUGCCUCUGUGUGUGUUUGGAAACUUGAGGUUGAGGUCUGUUUAAUAUGUUAAUCAUUCACUUAGAACUAGAGCUAUAGUUAUAAGAAAUAAAAUUGUUUAUGUGUUCCUUAUGUUAUUCUAUUAUUAAAGUCAUGCUUCUGUGGAAGGGAAUAUUAUAUAAAUUGAUUUAAAUUGAAAGAGCCUCAUUGGCACCUAAACCUAUAGAGAAAAAUGAGUAGUUAGGGGUUAGGGGUAUUUAGGAGUAGAGUUUAACUCUAGGUUGGGCUGCUCUCCCCGGAACAAGCAUUGCCCUGGGCCUUGAGACCCUUGGGAACUUUAAAGUAUCGGGGGAUUCAAAGGGGGCAUCGGCCUUGAGUUGAAUUCUAUCAUUAGCCCUUAAUUCAUUGAUACUUGUUAUUCUAUUUAGCCUUAGUGUUUAAUGACAACGAAAGGUGUUUAAUGUGGAUCAUUUGCUAUACAUAACCAUCACAUUGGCAUAACCUUCUUAGUGUUUGAACACUGUUAGUUAUCCUUCUUUCAUUCUUUGGUUGCAAGCUUCAUGUAUGAGCAUGUAUAUUAUAUUGUAUUUCUAAUGACUUUCUCUUUUUUUUUUUAACAUGUACAAUGGCUUGGGACUGCUGAGUUCUUAAAGAACUCUGGCCCAAAUCCUGCAUUGCUAUAUCCUGGGAGUCCAGAGUCAGUUGUCUACCCUAUUAUUACUUAUGGGCCUGUCUCUUUGAGGCCCCAAAACCAGAGUCUUUUCUUUCCCUUUACUCCUUUAUUUACUGCUUUCGCUAUUCUAUAGCUCUAUAUUGUCGUUGUCCUUUAUUGUGUUCCUGUUGUUUUAUCUCAUAUGUAUACAACAAUUAUAUAUUGGAUUGGAUGCUUUA
RNAcentral lists this long non-coding RNA (3097 nucleotides) under Nicotiana tabacum (common tobacco). Its description in RNAcentral is "long non-coding RNA (NTAB_LNC004062)". The record is from RNAcentral. Lineage: Eukaryota; Viridiplantae; Streptophyta; Magnoliopsida; Solanales; Solanaceae.